Molecule: ribosomal RNA, 485 nt
Filed under: uncultured organism
Description: bacterial SSU rRNA
Rfam family: Bacterial small subunit ribosomal RNA
Source: RNAcentral
GACGAACGCUGGCGGUAUGCUUAACACAUGCAAGUCGAGCGAGAAUCGUUUUGCUGAAGGCUUCGGUCUGACGCAGAAUGAGGAAAGCGGCGAACGGGUGAGUAACGCGUGGGCAACCUGGCCUUAAGAAAAGGAUAGCCCCCGGAAACGGGGAGUAAUACUUUAUGAGAAUAGAAAAGGGCAUCCUAUUUCUAUUCAAAGCGCAAGCGCUUAAGGAUGGGCCCGCGUAUCAUUAGCUAGUUGGUGAGAUAACAGCCCACCAAGGCAACGAUGAUUAGCCGGUCUGAGAGGGCGAACGGCCACAUUGGAACUGAGAGACGGUCCAAACUCCUACGGGAGGCAGCAGUGGGGAAUAUUGCGCAAUGGAGAAGAACUCUGACGCAGCAAUACCGCGUGAGCGAAGAAGGUCUUCGGAUCGUAAAGCUCUGUUAUCAGGGAAGAAGAAAAUGACGGUACCUGAUGAGCAAGUCCCGGCUAACUACGUG